This 350-nucleotide ribosomal RNA is filed under the name uncultured bacterium. RNAcentral's name for it is "partial 16S ribosomal RNA". It matches the Rfam family "Bacterial small subunit ribosomal RNA", at positions 338 to 685 of the family's 1533-position model. The record is from RNAcentral.
CCUACGGGUGGCAGCAGUGAGGAAUAUUGGUCAAUGGGCGGAAGCCUGAACCAGCCAAGUAGCGUGCAGGAUGACGGCCCUACGGGUUGUAAACUGCUUUUAUACGGGAAUAACGCGCCUUACGUGUAGGGCUUUGCAUGUACCGUAUGAAUAAGGACCGGCUAAUUCCGUGCCAGCAGCCGCGGUAAUACGGAAGGUCCGGGCGUUAUCCGGAUUUAUUGGGUUUAAAGGGAGCGUAGGCCGCAUGUCAAGCGUGCUGUGAAAUGUCCGGGCUCAACCCGGGCCUUGCAGCGCGAAUGGGCGGGGUUGAGUCGGAGAGAAGAUGGCGGAAUGCGUGGUGUAGCGGUGAA